Molecule: transfer RNA, 77 nt
Filed under: Paracoccaceae bacterium
Lineage: Bacteria; Pseudomonadati; Pseudomonadota; Alphaproteobacteria; Rhodobacterales; Paracoccaceae
Description: Rhodobacteraceae bacterium tRNA-Arg
Rfam family: tRNA
About the family: Transfer RNA (tRNA) molecules are approximately 80 nucleotides in length. Their secondary structure includes four short double-helical elements and three loops (D, anti-codon, and T loops). Further hydrogen bonds mediate the characteristic L-shaped molecular structure. tRNAs have two regions of fundamental functional importance: the anti-codon, which is responsible for specific mRNA codon recognition, and the 3' end, to which the tRNAs corresponding amino acid is attached (by aminoacyl-tRNA synthetases). tRNAs cope with the degeneracy of the genetic code in two manners: having more than one tRNA (with a specific anti-codon) for a particular amino acid; and 'wobble' base-pairing, i.e. permitting non-standard base-pairing at the 3rd anti-codon position.
Source: RNAcentral
GCACCCGUAGCUCAGCUGGAUAGAGUACCUGACUACGAAUCAGGGGGCCACACGUUCGAAUCGUGUCGGGUGCACCA